Molecule: ribosomal RNA, 814 nt
Filed under: Lophiostoma clematidis-vitalbae
Lineage: Eukaryota; Fungi; Ascomycota; Dothideomycetes; Pleosporales; Lophiostomataceae
Description: Sigarispora clematidis partial large subunit ribosomal RNA
Rfam family: Eukaryotic large subunit ribosomal RNA
Source: RNAcentral
AUUGCCCUAGUAACGGCGAGUGAAGCGGCAACAGCUCAAAUUUGAAAUCUGGCUCCUUUGGGGUCCGAGUUGUAAUUUGUAGAGGGUGCUUUGGCGUUGGUUGUGGUCUAAGUUCCUUGGAACAGGACGUCACAGAGGGUGAGAAUCCCGUACGUGGCCGCCAGCCUUCGCCGUGUAAAGCCCCUUCGAUGAGUCGAGUUGUUUGGGAAUGCAGCUCUAAAUGGGAGGUAAAUUUCUUCUAAAGCUAAAUAUUUGCCAGAGACCGAUAGCGCACAAGUAGAGUGAUCGAAAGAUGAAAAGCACUUUGGAAAGAGAGUCAAAAAGCACGUGAAAUUGUUGAAAGGGAAGCGCUUGCAGCUAGACGUGCCUUGGGUUGAUCAGCCGGACUUUUGCCCGGUGCACUCUUCCUUUGGCAGGCCAGCAUCAGUUUGGGCGGCUGGAUAAAGGUCUGUUAAACGUGACUUCCUUCGGGGAGAGCUUAUAGGGCAGACGACAUGCAGCCAGCCUGAACUGAGGUCCGCGCAUCUGCUAGGAUGCUGGCAUAAUAGCUGUAAGCGGCCCGUCUUGAAACACGGACCAAGGAGUCUAACAUCUAUGCGAGUGUUUGGGUGUCAAGCCCGAGCGCGUAAUGAAAGUAAACGGAGGUGGGAACCUUUUAGGCGCACCAUCGACCGAUCUUGAUGUCUUCGGAUGGAUUUGAGUAAGAGCAUAGCUGUUGGGACCCGAAAGAUGGUGAACUAUGCCUGAAUAGGGUGAAGCCAGAGGAAACUCUGGUGGAGGCUCGCAGCGGUUCUGACGUGCAAAUCGAUCGUCA